Molecule: long non-coding RNA, 5155 nt
Filed under: Bos indicus x Bos taurus (hybrid cattle)
Lineage: Eukaryota; Metazoa; Chordata; Mammalia; Artiodactyla; Bovidae
Description: lncRNA (ENSBIXG00005004021.1)
Source: RNAcentral
UCUACACCCUGUCAAACAAGAAAGCUGAUUCCUAGGAGCGUGCAAGAAGUCUGCUGGAAGGUAAGAUUUCUGCACACCCAUCUUUUUCACUCUUUUUUUUCACUCUUUCUGGACUUUUUGAGGGUGAGUCCCACGUCUGAAUCAUCUUCAUCUCUCUCCACUUUUGUCUCUCUCCAAUCACCUUUGUCGUAAUCACCUUUGUCCAAUCACCAAUGUGUCGCUGGGCACAUACAGGUGCUCAGUGAACGUUCCUUGAAUGGCUGUGUAUAGGAAUAGCCUGAAGUUCAUGGAAAUAGAAGUGGCUUUUCAAACUACCUCACCCUGAGUCCCUCCAGAAAAGACUUACCAAAUCUAAUUAAUUCAAUUAAUAAGCAGAAUUCUGCCAGGUACGAGGCAUUCGGAAAUACAAAUCUCAUGGUGAGAGAUGGAGGGGAAGCUCAUGAUGGGUGGAUGUACUUCAAAUUCAACAACCCGCAGUUAUAGCUCCAUUUUCUGGGAAGCAAAACCACUCGGUGGCCCCAGGGCCCUUUAAAUUUUACCGUGACUGUUUUCUUAAGAAAUUCCUGGAGUAGAGCCUAAAUUUUAUGUAGGGGGUUGGCAUAUUCGUGGCCUAAGGGACGGUUGGCAGAAGGGGUGCCUAGAGUUCGCAAGGGAAGGAAACUGCUGAGGAGUCCGAGCAGCCCUGUGGAGGGUCGCUGAGUGGGGGACCCGAGAGUCCUUGAACUUCCAAAGCUUCGGGGAAUUCGAGGAAGGGACCCUGAGGGGUGGCCAAGGCUGCCAGAUGUCUGCUGGGUUUCAAUGCUGCCGACUUUUCUCCUCUGUCGGCCCAAGCUCGACCCGGGUUCAGCAGCCAGACCAGGGAACAGCCAGGGCAUCUGGGCAGGAGGGAGGCGGGCCGGCCGGGAGGAAGGAGUCCUGGGCCGCCGCCGCCGCCCCGCCCGUCGGGCUGUCCGCCCCGCCUACCCCGAGCGAGGCGGAGCCGGCCCCCGCCCGGAGGAGCAGCAGGAGGAGGAGAGGUCGGAGUCGUCUCCAGGAGCCCUUAGAGACAGAGUCCCCGGCAGCGGCGGUGGCGGCAGGGGCAGCGCACCGGCAGGCGAGUGAGCACCGAGCGGCGGGCGCAGAUUCAUUCCAUCACCUAAAACCUGGUGACGGUGGGCCAUAUAGAGUCUUGCUGGUGAAAACCAUUAACUGAAGAUGUCGAGCAAGACAGCCAGUACCAACAACAUUGCCCAGGCACGGAGGACUGUGCAGCAGUUGAGAAUGGAAGCCUCCAUUGAGAGAAUAAAGGUUUCAAAGGCAUCAGCAGACCUCAUGUCCUACUGUGAGGAACAUGCCAGGAAUGACCCUCUGCUGAUGGGGAUACCAACUUCAGAAAACCCCUUCAAGGAUAAGAAGACCUGCACCAUCUUAUAGAGAAGUAGUGAAGUGGAUCCUCCCCUCUUCUCAACAAAGCAAAUGAUGAGCAGCUCCUUGAAAAGAUUUACCUUCAGCUUAUUUGGUAACCACUGCUAAUAACUAAAAUGCUCUUAACUUGGAGUUAUGGACUCUGAAGUCUUUACCUUCCAAGUUUUUCUUUCCUUUUACUGAAUUAAUACAGAAUAAUAAUCUUGUUUCCCAUUUGUUAACUAUGGUGUCCUAUUAGUUACUGCUGAAGGAAAAGUUGGUCUGGCCUUUAAAAAGAAAACAAAUAUAUCAGUGAUCCAGUUAAAACCUAAAUUACCUAAGCAGUCGUCUAGAUUAAAAUGCCAAGGAUAACUGGUCCUAAAAAUUUUUGUCGUAGUCUAUUCUUAAGAGUUGUGCCAAUCUGUAUAGUAUAUGUGGAUGAGAAAUGUUUUGUGUAUAUAUAUGUGUGUGUUUGUAUAUACACAUCUCAAAGCUUAUUUCCCAAUUAAAAUGUCUCUCCCUCCAUACUAUCAGUUCGACUCAAGAAGUUAUACCUUUAUCUCAAGCUGUGUGUAGGUAGAAUUAAAUUCUUUUCUUGUCGUUAUUGUACAAAAAGAACACCCUACAGCCUAUAUUCAUCGUAGUUGAGUAAUGAAGUCAUCUCUCUCCUCUUGAAACCGUGCUGACCUGCCAAUCAAAAUUUUUAAACUGAACUAAAAGCCCUUUUAUAAUAUGAGCAUUCUUUCACCAAGGGAUUUCAGGUUUCAGCAAUCCUGAAUCUAUGUAGGAAAUGGGAGGCAGCCCUUGGGGGCACCCUAGGCAGCUGUGCCCCAGGGCUCAUGGUCUCUGAACCAGGGGUAGACACCUGAAAUUCCUACUGUAACGAUGGGAACUAGACAGAGCGGCCAUGAGCCCGGCCAAGAGAAGAGCAGGAAUGCGUGAAAACCAGCUGCUCUUUGUGGCCUAACUUUGUGAUUUAGCUCACUUUCUCUGCCUUCCCUCUUAUCUUUCCUCUGCAGCCAGAUCAUGUCUUCAGAAUUAAUGUCCACCUCCCCAUCCCCAAAUGGGUAGAUCAUGGUGGGAAAGAAAUAUACAAAGAAUGUAAAGGUAUCGGACACAUAAGCUCUUUUCAAGUAUCUGCAGCAUCUGCAUCAUCCCUGCCUGGUCCUCACACCAUCAGAGGGGCUUGUUUCACUACUUGGGCUCACAGUUCCUUGAUUUUCCUCUGGGCCUGGAUAUUACUGCCACACACACCCAGAAUGGCUAGUGGGGAUCCCCAAAGAAGGUUGUCUCCUGUGGCAGAGGGCAUACUGUUAACUAAGAGGAGGAGAGGGUAUUCCUAAACACUUAUUUAUGGGCCCAAACCAUGCACCAGACCUUUGAUAUUUUAAUUCAAAUUCCAUUCAUUAAAAAUUACUAAUGAAAAGUUAAAAGUAUUCUCAGAAAGGAUUCAACCCCAAGAAGGAAUUAUUUACAAUGGUUUUCCCUAGUUCUGUACAAUCUUGCCCUGCAGUGCAAGCCUGUUUUUAAAUCUAACACCUAAGCUUUGAGUAUUAUGUUAAUUGUGGGUGAACAAACAGUACUGUUUUCAGACUGCUCAAAUCUAUUCCGUAUUUCUGCAAGUCACCUAUCUAGCAUUGUGAACUGCCCUCACUCCUCCAGGAUCAUGUGGAAAUCAUGCCACUGCCCUUACCUUCUUGUCAUCUACACUUGGUUCUGCAAAGGGCCCAGUUUCCAAGUAUAUUAUAGGCACCGUUGGUGGAGAAAGGUUUUUCCUUUCAAAAGGUGAAAUUUGAAAUAUACAUUAAGAAGACAACUUUACAUGUGCUGCAUCACUUAAUGAGACAUUCUUUUUUUUUUAAUAGGUGUAUUUUUCUACUGAUAAGUUUCAGAACACUAAUCUUAUUUUCACUCUGAUUUUUACCAUGUUCCUUUGAAUAUUUAUAAUGUAGCUUGUUACAAAAUAUUUUCAUGAAAUUACUUUUAUUAUACUGUUAUAUACACAUUUUUGGUAGCAAGCAUAGUUUAUUCUUUCGUACUAAAACAUGUUCUUUUCCCUAUUAGAAAACAAGUAUGGUUUGCUAUAUAUUUGUUAAUAUGCUUGUAGUGGUAAGGAAUGGACUUGAGGUCCCAGGAGAUUUUUUUUUUUUUUGCUAGCCAGAUAUCAUAAAGGCUACAAGUAUGAACAUCAUAUAACUUCCUGACCAGGUGUAGGGCAUGUUUAAGAAAAGUGAUAUCAAGUCCUUUGAUGCUGGACCCAAGGGGGAAAAAUUGUAGCUAAGUGUUGAUUUACUUAUUAUGAGACGUCUAUGUGAGAAAAAUAUAAUAUAUGUAUACAUAUAUAUGAUAUGCAGAAGUCACUUUUAUUUAUCAGGCUUUAUUCUACUAGUAAAGCCACAGUUUAACUAUUAGACAGCAGCUGGUUAUAAUGAUGGACAAAUGCCCAAUGUGUUUUAUUUUUUCCAAACUACCACUAUAAUGACACAAUCACUUAUGUACAUGCAACUUCCUGGCUUCAUAUCUAUGAGGCUAUUUAAAUAUGUUCACUAUACUUGGUCUUUAAUUCUGCCUCUAUUAACAGUGAUCUCUUUUUCCAUUCUUGAUUCUUCUUUAGUUCAUCAUUAAUCUGUCCAAUUGACGCCUCAGGACCAUGGCAAGAAUUUCAUGACUCCAAAGUAUUUUACAGACACACCCUUUUUUUUUUUUUUUUUUUAACAGAGAGAAACACUUUCUAUACCAUGUGGUUCACAAGCUGUAGGUUUUUUCUAAAAAGAAUCAGGUUUUUACAUUUCCUUAUUAUUAAAAUAAAAAGUGCCAUACUGACCCCUUAAAGCAAAGACCUAAUUUGCUUUCUCUCUAUUGGGACUAUUUUUGUACUUUACUAAUCUUUCAACUAUCCAAAAAAAAAUUAUACCAAUGAUUUAGUAAUUUUGAGGCGUAAGUUAGUUUAGGUAGUGGAAGAUGUGCCAAACUUUCCCUCCAGAUGCCUUUGUCUCAAUUUGCAACUAAGGUAGUGUCAUCUGAGUGAUUACACUGAAUUUUACUAAGAAGUGAAUCACAGUACAUGUCAGUCCUUUCUCAAUAAAUGUAAUACCAGAGUGUGUUAUGACUGUAGACUUUUUAUGGUAGAUCUGUUAAUAGAAAAAAAAAAAUAUAUUGAAUUAAGUAGAGUUAUCUGUAUGUUAAAAUAGAGCACUUACCUAGAGCUGGGUGUCCUGGAUCGCUGUCUAGCCAAUCCUGUGUUCCUGUGUUGUGUGACUUUGGACAAGGCACUCCAUCUCUCUGAGCCUCCAUUUCACCAUCUGUAAAAUAAGGGGCUUGAAGUAGCUGAUGGCUGAUACCCUCCUGUUCCGUCCAGUGGCCUACCCCUCUACUGGUCCUGCCAACAUGUUGGUGCUAUACGCUGCUUCAAAUAUAAAAUUGGUUUGUCUAUUGUGUGUGCUCAUUUAAUAGCUUAUGAAAGGCCUUUUUGUUAUAUGGCUUUUUUUUUCUAGUUUUAUGAACUUGAUUACUGUAAUAAAGUCUUGUUUGUAGCCAUGUAACUAUAAACAUAGUCUCUUGAUGUCAGUAAAUUUGCAUUUGAUAUAUUAGUUGAUGGAAUUGUUGUUUUAGGACAUUCUUUGACUACUUAUCUGUCCAGCAUCUUAUUAACCUAAAUAUUGUGAUCGUUGUUUGGAAAUCUGUUCUCUGGAAAGAAUAAAAGCAUUUACUUCACAGCUAAUGUGUUUGCAGAUUUGAAAAACAGUUUCAUUAAAGCACCAUUGCUCUCUUU